GGGAAUCUUGCGCAAUGGGCGCAAGCCUGACGACGCAACGCCGCGUGGAGGAUGAAGAUUUUCGGAUCGUAAACUCCUGUCGAAUGGGACGAAUAGAUCUCGGGUGAACAAUCCGAGGUCCUGACGGUACCGUUAACGGAAACCCCGGCUAACUCCGUGCCAGCAGCCGCGGUAAUACGGGGGGGGUAAGCGUUGUUCGGAAUUACUGGGCGUAAAGGGCUCGUAGGCGGCCAACUAAGUCAGACGUGAAAUCCCUCAGCUUAACUGGGGAACUGCGUCUGAUACUGGAUGGCUUGGAUCCGGGAGAGGGAUGCGGAAUUCCAGGUGUAGCGGUGAAAUGCGUAGAUAUCUGGAGGAACACCGGUGGCGAAGGCGGCAUCCUGGACCGGCAUUGACGCUGAGGAGCGAAAGCCAGGGGAGCAAAC
This 425-nucleotide ribosomal RNA is filed under the name uncultured bacterium. RNAcentral describes it as "bacterial SSU rRNA". It matches the Rfam family "Bacterial small subunit ribosomal RNA", at positions 357 to 773 of the family's 1533-position model. The record is from RNAcentral.